Molecule: ribosomal RNA, 254 nt
Filed under: uncultured bacterium
Lineage: Bacteria
Description: partial 16S ribosomal RNA
Rfam family: Bacterial small subunit ribosomal RNA
Source: RNAcentral
UACGGGGGGAGCAAGCGUUGUUCGGAUUUACUGGGCGUAAAGGGCGCGUAGGCGGCCACGACAAGUCAGUUGUGAAAUCUCUGGGCUUAACUCAGAACGGUCAACUGAUACUGUCGGGCUAGAGUGCAGAAGGGGCAACUGGAAUUCUCGGUGUAGCGGUGAAAUGCGUAGAUAUGCGGAGGAACACCGAUGGCGAAGGCAAUCCCCUGGGCCUGCACUGACGCUCAUGCACGAAAGCGUGGGGAGCAAACAGG